UCCCUGGUGGCUCAGUGGUAAAGAAUCUGCCUGCAAUGCAGGAAACUCUGGUUCGAUCCUGGGUCGGGAAG
Molecule: transfer RNA, 71 nt
Filed under: Bos taurus (domestic cattle)
Lineage: Eukaryota; Metazoa; Chordata; Mammalia; Artiodactyla; Bovidae
Also listed under: 5 other names
Rfam family: tRNA
About the family: Transfer RNA (tRNA) molecules are approximately 80 nucleotides in length. Their secondary structure includes four short double-helical elements and three loops (D, anti-codon, and T loops). Further hydrogen bonds mediate the characteristic L-shaped molecular structure. tRNAs have two regions of fundamental functional importance: the anti-codon, which is responsible for specific mRNA codon recognition, and the 3' end, to which the tRNAs corresponding amino acid is attached (by aminoacyl-tRNA synthetases). tRNAs cope with the degeneracy of the genetic code in two manners: having more than one tRNA (with a specific anti-codon) for a particular amino acid; and 'wobble' base-pairing, i.e. permitting non-standard base-pairing at the 3rd anti-codon position.
Source: Rfam by way of RNAcentral